UACGUAGGGGGCAAGCGUUGUCCGGAAUCAUUGGGCGUAAAGAGCGUGUAGGCGGCCUGGUAAGUCCGCUGUGAAAGUCCAGGGCUCAACCCUGGAAUGCCGGUGGAAACUGUCAGGCUCGAGUCCGGAAGAGGCGAGUGGAAUUCCUGGUGUAGCGGUGAAAUGCGCAGAUAUCAGGAGGAACACCAAUGGCGAAGGCAGCUCGCUGGACCGGUUCUGACGCUGAGGCGCGAAAGCGUGGGGAGCAAACGGG
RNAcentral lists this ribosomal RNA (253 nucleotides) under uncultured bacterium. Its description in RNAcentral is "partial 16S ribosomal RNA". It matches the Rfam family "Bacterial small subunit ribosomal RNA", at positions 524 to 776 of the family's 1533-position model. The record is from RNAcentral.